RNAcentral lists this long non-coding RNA (721 nucleotides) under Jatropha curcas. RNAcentral describes it as "long non-coding RNA (JCUR_LNC002408)". The record is from RNAcentral. Lineage: Eukaryota; Viridiplantae; Streptophyta; Magnoliopsida; Malpighiales; Euphorbiaceae.
AAAAUCAGUCUUAUUUCUCGAUGAAAACUGAAAUAACUAAACAUACUUAUCAAUUUCAAUUGUGCUUAAGGUUGACAGUUUAAUCAAAGAUUUUUCUCAAAUUUGCAUAUAAACGGUACCUUAGAUUAAAGCUAACUACUAUCACAAUCGUAUUUGAAACAACCUGAAAUGUUAUUUUCCAAAACUGAUCAAAUUAAAUUUAAUUUCAAAUGCCAUGUAAAUUUUAUUUCGCAAAUUAAAUUAUUAUGCAAUAUUCAAAUUGGUUUCAUUUAUGCAAAUCAAAUAAAACCCAAAUAAUCCAAACCCAAAACUAAGUAAACCCAAAUCAAGUUCUUGGAGAAGUUGUUGAGGACUUUGUUGACUAAUAAUACUAAUAAAUAAAUAAUAUUAGAUUCUAGAACUACCUAGAAACCCACGCCAUUUUUUUCAUCCCCACCCAUUUCUCUCUUUCUCUUUUCUCUUUCUUUUCUUUUCUUCUCUUCUCCACUACGUCUCCUUUCUCGAUCGAUUUUUCAGCCACCGUUCGACAGGAACUAGGUGGCAAUCGAACCCACAGGCGCUGGUAAUCAUGUUACCUCCUCUUGGAUGAGUGGAGUCCCUAUUGAUCACAAAGGGGUUUUUUGAUUGAUUAAAUGCUUUAUCUCAACUUGAAUUCAAGUUAACACUAAUUAUCUUAAGAUUUGAGUUGAGUUUUAAAAAAAAGAAGAAUCUCCCUUAAUUU